UAUUUAGCACCUUACAUUUAGUCAACUAUGACCAAUUUAAAUGAUCAAAAUAUUAUACUUGUAUACUGCGUUCUGAUUGGUUCAGAGGCAUCUCACCUGGAUCGUGGAUAAAUCACCGUCCGAUGCUCCUGAAUCCAACAAUCUGCACGUCGCCCGUCUCACCCACGUCGCCCAAGCCUACAAUCCGCACUCCUGUUGCACCCUUCUCUCCCACGCACACAACCACCGCACCUCUCUCCUCUUCUCCCUCCCUCUGAACUGAUCUGAAUCCACCGCCACCCACCCCCACCGCCUCCCAAGCCCACCCUGCAGUACAGAUCCGAGUUCCCCUGCCUCCGCCACCACCGCGCCCACUUCGCGUGCUAUCCAGAUCCACCCUCGGUCUCACCGCUCGCCGCCUCCCAUCCCUAGAUCCUCCACCCGCAACGGACUCACGAGGUAGUGUCCGACCACUCCGUCCUCUAGGCCGGUUGAAUCCACCCCGCUCCCGAUCUCCGGCGCUCCCCCCGCGACCCCUUGCCCGUGCCUAGGGUUUCGACCGUGGCAUCACGUACAUCGCCGGCGCGUCUCCGGUGGCUCCUCUCUGCCACAAAACGUAGCCCCCUCGCGCCCUCUCCAUGUCCUGGAUGGCGCUUGAUAGCUCGGUGCACUCACACGCAUUAGGCUGGACGACAACGACUCUGACCUCUUCUAUCGCGUCUCGGCGCAGUCAUGCAUCCUGUGGCGACCUCCUCUGCCACGUGACGGCAGUGGCCGACCUUCACUGCGAGCGCUCCACCACCUGCAGAUCAAUUCAGGAUAGCAGAGAAGUGAAUGUACGACAGUGAUGUCGAUUGUUGGCUGCCGGUGUCAACAUGCAAAUAUUCCAAGACAAGAGAAGGUUUUGACCAUUUGAUGGAAGCAUCCAAGUCGAGCCAGGUCAACAAGUUUUGAUUCUGAACACUCCUAGUUCAUUAGCACAUUCUGAAUGUUGUUGUUGGCUUGAAACUGGAGACCAAUUUGGCAGAGGCAGGGGACGAGCCUAACUGGUUGGUGUCUCCACAUGUCGGCUUGUGCCCGUGGUGGAUGCAAACAAAAGGAAGGACUCGUAUGCAACCCAGCAUGCUGGGUAUCUUCUAGUAUGUUUCAUGAUCAUUCAGAGUUUAGGUCUGGUGCACAUGUUCAAAAUCCUAAACCCUCUAGUUGUAAACCUCACAGAAAUUCUCACCUAGGCUGAUCGUCUACUAGAGUAAUGCUCAACACCUUGCUAUAUAUCAUACUGCUAUGUGAUAUUGUAUAUGUGCAUGUGUUAUAAAUUGGCUUUAAUUCAAUACUUUGCGAUUGGUCAAUA
Aegilops tauschii subsp. strangulata is the source of this 1330-nucleotide long non-coding RNA. RefSeq lists it as uncharacterized. The record is from RefSeq and is a predicted model, not a curated record. NCBI's taxonomy places the organism in Eukaryota, Viridiplantae, Streptophyta, Magnoliopsida, Poales, Poaceae.